This 1115-nucleotide ribosomal RNA is filed under the name Umbelopsis westeae. RNAcentral describes it as "SSU rRNA". It matches the Rfam family "Eukaryotic small subunit ribosomal RNA", at positions 38 to 1150 of the family's 1831-position model. Lineage: Eukaryota; Fungi; Mucoromycota; Umbelopsidomycetes; Umbelopsidales; Umbelopsidaceae. RNAcentral also lists the same sequence under 1 other name. The record is from RNAcentral.
CAAAGAUUAAGCCAUGCAUGUCUAAGUAUAAACAAAUUUAUACAGUGAAACUGCGAAUGGCUCAUUAAAUCAGUUAUAAUUUAUUUGAUAUUCACUUACUACUUGGAUAACCGUGGUAAUUCUAGAGCUAAUACAUGCGUACAUAACCUCGACUUCUGGAAGAGGUGCACUUAUUAGAUAAAAAGCCAACGCGGGCAACCGCUUGUAUGGUGAUUCAUAAUAAUUAAGCGAAUCGCAUGGCCUUGUGCCGGCGAUGAUGCAUUCAAAUUUCUGCCCUAUCAAGUUUCGAUGGUAGGUUAGUGGCCUACCAUGCUUUUAACGGGUAACGGGGAAUUAGGGUUCGAUUCCGGAGAGGGAGCCUGAGAAACGGCUACCACAUCCAAGGAAGGCAGCAGGCGCGCAAAUUACCCAAUCCCGACACGGGGAGGUAGUGACAAUAAAUAACAAUACAGGGCCUUUACGGGUCUUGUAAUUGGAAUGAGUACAAUUUAAAUCCCUUAACGAGGAACAAUUGGAGGGCAAGUCUGGUGCCAGCAGCCGCGGUAAUUCCAGCUCCAAUAGCGUAUAUUAAAGUUGUUGCAGUUAAAAAGCUCGUAGUUGAAUUUUGGCCUUGGGUGGUUUGGUUUGGCCUUCACUGGUCAAUGCCUUUUCCGCCUAGGUCUUACCUUCUGGGUUAGCUUGUGUCGCUUCGGUGGCGCAAGUGAACCAGAACUUUUACUUUGAAAAAAUUGGAGUGUUUAAAGCAGGCUUUCAAGCCUGAACAUAUUAGCAUGGAAUAAUGAAAUAGGACUUUGGCCUUAUUUCGUUGGUUUCUAAAGCCAAAGUAAUGAUGAAUAGGGAUAGUUGGGGACAUUAGUAUUCAAUUGUCAGAGGUGAAAUUCUUGGAUUUAUUGAAGACUAACUUCUGCGAAAGCAUUUGUCAAGGAUGUUUUCAUUAAUCAAGAACGAAAGUUAGGGGAUCGAAGACGAUCAGAUACCGUCGUAGUCUUAACCAUAAACUAUGCCGACUAAGGAUCGGAUGGUGUUAUAUUUUAUAUUGACCCAUUCGGCAUUUCAGCGAAAGCCAAGUUUUUGGGUUCCGGGGGGAGUAUGGUCGCAAGGCUGAAACUUAAAGG